Molecule: ribosomal RNA, 420 nt
Filed under: alpha proteobacterium T28-18
Lineage: Bacteria; Pseudomonadati; Pseudomonadota; Alphaproteobacteria
Description: partial 16S rRNA
Rfam family: Bacterial small subunit ribosomal RNA
Source: RNAcentral
UCUUCGGAGGNGCGCACACAGGUGCUGCAUGGCUGUCGUCAGCUCGUGUCGUGAGAUGUUGGGUUAAGUCCCGCAACGAGNGCAACCCACGUCCUUAGUUGCCAUCAUUCAGUUGGGCACUNUAAGGAGACUGCCGGUGAUAANCCGCGAGGAAGGUGUGAAUNACGUCAAGUCCUCAUGGCCCUNACGGGAUGGGNUACACACGUGCUACAAUGGCGGUGACANUGGGANGCGAAGGGGUGACCCCGAGCCAAUCUCCAAAANCCGUCUCAGUUCGGAUUGCACUCUGCAACUGGAGUGCAUGAAGUCGGAAUCGUUAGUAAUCGUGGAUCAGCAUGCCACGGUCAAUACGUUNCCCGGUGCCUUGUACACACCGCCNGUCACACCAUGGCAGUUGAGUUNUUACCGGGACGGCGCUGC